This 419-nucleotide ribosomal RNA is filed under the name uncultured bacterium. Its description in RNAcentral is "bacterial SSU rRNA". It matches the Rfam family "Bacterial small subunit ribosomal RNA", at positions 29 to 479 of the family's 1533-position model. The record is from RNAcentral.
AACGAACGCUGGCGGCAUGCCUAACACAUGCAAGUCGAACGAACUUUUCGGAGUUAGUGGCGGACGGGUGAGUAACGCGUAGGAACCUGCCAAGUAGUGGGGGAUAACAGCUGGAAACGGCUGCUAAUACCGCAUACGCCCCCUGGUUUAACAUCUGGGGGGGAAAGAUUUAUCGCUAUUUGAGGGUCCUGCGUUCGAUUAGCUUGUUGGCGGGGUAACGGCCCACCAAGGCGAUGAUCGAUAGCUGGUCUGAGAGGAUGAUCAGCCACACUGGGACUGAGACACGGCCCAGACUCCUACGGGAGGCAGCAGUGGGGAAUAUUGGACAAUGGGGGCAACCCUGAUCCAGCAAUGCCGCGUGCGUGAAGAAGGCCUUAGGGUUGUAAAGCGCUUUCACCUGCGAUGAUGAUGACAGUAGC